AUUGAACGCUGGCGGCAGGCCUAACACAUGCAAGUCGAGCGGAUGAAGGGAGCUUGCUCCUGGAUUCAGCGGCGGACGGGUGAGUAAUGCCUAGGAAUCUGCCUGGUAGUGGGGGAUAACGUCCGGAAACGGGCGCUAAUACCGCAUACGUCCUGAGGGAGAAAGUGGGGGAUCUUCGGACCUCACGCUAUCAGAUGAGCCUAGGUCGGAUUAGCUAGUUGGUGGGGUAAAGGCCUACCAAGGCGACGAUCCGUAACUGGUCUGAGAGGAUGAUCAGUCACACUGGAACUGAGACACGGUCCAGACUCCUACGGGAGGCAGCAGUGGGGAAUAUUGGACAGUGGGCGAAAGCCUGAUACAGCCAUGCCGCGUGUGUGAAGAAGGUCUUCGGAUUGUAAAGCACUUUAAGUUGGGAGGAAGGGCAGUAAGUUAAUACCUUGCUGUUUUGACGUUACCAGCAGAAUAAGCACCGGCUAACUACGUG
RNAcentral lists this ribosomal RNA (484 nucleotides) under uncultured bacterium. Its description in RNAcentral is "partial 16S ribosomal RNA". It matches the Rfam family "Bacterial small subunit ribosomal RNA", at positions 30 to 507 of the family's 1533-position model. The record is from RNAcentral.